AAUCAACGCUGGCGGCGUGCCUAACACAUGCAAGUCGAACGCGAAAGCCCCGCAAGGGGUAAGUAGAGUGGCAAACGGGUGAGUAACACGUGGGUGACCUGCCUUCGAGUGGGGGAUAACGUCCCGAAAGGGACGCUAAUACCGCAUGACAUCCUGCUUUUGAAAAAGCGGAGAUCAAAGCUGGGGAUCGCAAGACCUAGCGCUUGAAGAGGGGCCCGCGCCUGAUUAGCUAGUUGGUGAGGUAACGGCUCACCAAGGCGACGAUCAGUAUCCGGCCUGAGGGGGCGGACGGCCACACUGGGACUGAGACACGGCCCAGACUCCUACGGGAGGCAGCAGUGGGGAAUUGUUCGCAAUGGGCGCAAGCCUGACGACGCAACGCCGCGUGGAGGACGAAGAUCUUCGGGUCGUAAACUCCUGUCGAGCGGGACGAACGCUUCGCGGAUGAAUAAUCCGCGGAAUUGACGGUACCGCUAAAGGAAGCCCCGGCUAACUCCG
This 498-nucleotide ribosomal RNA is filed under the name uncultured bacterium. RNAcentral describes it as "partial 16S ribosomal RNA". It matches the Rfam family "Bacterial small subunit ribosomal RNA", at positions 32 to 505 of the family's 1533-position model. The record is from RNAcentral.